CACACCGCCCGUCCACACCAUGGGAGGUGGGUUUCGUACCAGAAGCAGGGUUGCCUAACCGCAAGGAGGGCGCCUACCACGGUGAGAUUCAUGACUGGGGUG
This 102-nucleotide ribosomal RNA is filed under the name uncultured bacterium. RNAcentral's name for it is "partial 16S ribosomal RNA". The record is from RNAcentral.